RNAcentral lists this ribosomal RNA (226 nucleotides) under Melanohalea exasperata. RNAcentral's name for it is "partial 18S ribosomal RNA". The record is from RNAcentral. Lineage: Eukaryota; Fungi; Ascomycota; Lecanoromycetes; Lecanorales; Parmeliaceae.
CUAGUAAGCCCCGCAGCGACUCUAAACAAGUGCUCCGAGUCACCCCAACAAUAUGGGGCUGGCGACGCCUUCAUUCUGUGCUGAAAGGUCCCGAUGGGGUUAACCAGCAGCUCCACUCACCUGGAGUCCACAGAUCAAUACGCUGGCGGCCACCGCGGUGGUUGAGAUAUGACCGGCCUCGGCUGUUACCGGCCCGAGAAUUUUGCGGAACCUGCGGAAGGAUCAU